Long non-coding RNA from Eupeodes corollae, 800 nucleotides. RefSeq lists it as uncharacterized. The record is from RefSeq and is a predicted model, not a curated record. NCBI's taxonomy places the organism in Eukaryota, Metazoa, Arthropoda, Insecta, Diptera, Syrphidae. The transcript has 2 exons.
GAAAUUUCCUUUUUUUAGCUUUAGUACAAAUGAAAGUCGUCAGAAUGAGUUCGAAUUCGAAGUUGAUUUUAGCUCACCAAUACAAAGAAAGUUAGACGGAUCGUACGAUGAGAUGUUCGAUUUUUGUUCCGGAAGGGGGAUUGCUUCUUGAUUUUGCGCCGUGGAGAUCGGUAUUUUUUCGAGACGAGACAAGACCUUUUCGAGUCGUGGGAGUUUUUUUUGAAAUCGACCAAGAAAAGAGUUCGGUGGGGAAAAGCUGCCAAAGAUUUUGUGAAACGAAAAUUUAAAAAAAACGCUAACUUUAAGAAAAAGUUAUUAACUUAAAAAAAAAAAAAGAAAAAAAAGAUACAAAACGAUUUAAAAGUGAUGUAAACAACCUUUUAUUCUUGAAAAAAAACAAACGGGGGAAUGAGUGUUGCCAUAGUUUUUUUUUUGAAAUUUUUUUAAUUAAAUUCAACAAAAAUUGAUUUAAACUAAAUUAAAACAAUCGAAAGUGAUGUGAUGAACCCAAUAAAGACAAAUUUGGGGAAAAUAGUUAAAAGCGGUUGAUAAUUGGCGGUCCCAUAUCACCAUUAAAAGGACUGAGCCGCCGCAAUAUACAAUUUAAAUAAAAAAUUUAAAACGUCUUGUUGGUCCAUCGAAGCACCCCGGUUCCCGUCAGCACCGGUCCGUGUAGAGGCACUUGGGAGGAGAAAUAAUUCAGACUGAUAAGUCAAUCUUUGUGUUUGUGUUUGUCUUUAUCUAUAUUUAUUUAAUUUUUUUGGCGUCCAAAGUAUUUUAUUAAAUGUCAUUUUCAUUAA